GGCUCAGAGCGAACGCUGGCGGCAGGCUUAACACAUGCAAGUCGAGCGGGCGUAGCAAUACGUCAGCGGCAGACGGGUGAGUAACGCGUGGGAACGUACCUUUUGGUUCGGAACAACACAGGGAAACUUGUGCUAAUACCGGAUAAGCCCUUACGGGGAAAGAUUUAUCGCCGAAAGAUCGGCCCGCGUCUGAUUAGCUAGUUGGUAGGGUAACGGCCUACCAAGGCGACGAUCAGUAGCUGGUCUGAGAGGAUGAUCAGCCACAUUGGGACUGAGACACGGCCCAAACUCCUACGGGAGGCAGCAGUGGGGAAUAUUGGACAAUGGGGGCAACCCUGAUCCAGCCAUGCCGCGUGAGUGAUGAAGGCCCUAGGGUUGUAAAGCUCUUUUGUGCGGGAAGAUAAUG
RNAcentral lists this ribosomal RNA (406 nucleotides) under Bradyrhizobium sp. R-38071. Its description in RNAcentral is "bacterial SSU rRNA". It matches the Rfam family "Bacterial small subunit ribosomal RNA", at positions 21 to 453 of the family's 1533-position model. The record is from RNAcentral. Lineage: Bacteria; Pseudomonadati; Pseudomonadota; Alphaproteobacteria; Hyphomicrobiales; Nitrobacteraceae.